AUUGAACGCUGGCGGAAUGCUUUACACAUGCAAGUCGAACGGCAGCACGGACUUCGGUCUGGUGGCGAGUGGCGAACGGGUGAGUAAUGUAUCGGAACGUGCCCAGUCGUGGGGGAUAAAGUAGUGAAAAUUACGCUAAUACCGCAUACGAACUAUGGAUGCAAGAGGGGUAUCGCAAGACCUCGCGCGAUUGGAGCUGCCGAAAGCAGAUGAGGUAGUUGGUGGGGUAAAGGCCCACCAAGCAAACGAUAUGUAGCUGGUCUGAGAGGAAGACCAGCCACACUGGAACUGAGACACGGUCCAGACUCCUACGGGAGGCAGCAGUGGGGAAUUUUGGACAAUGGGCGAAAGCCUGAUCCAGCCAUUCCGCGUGCAGGAUGAAGGCCCUCGGGUUGUAAACUGCUUUUGUACAGAACGAAAAGGUUUCUACUAAUACUAGGAGCUCAUGACGGUACUGUAAGAAUAAGCACCGGCUAACUACGUGCCAGCCGCCGCCUGUAA
This 501-nucleotide ribosomal RNA is filed under the name uncultured bacterium. RNAcentral describes it as "partial 16S ribosomal RNA". It matches the Rfam family "Bacterial small subunit ribosomal RNA", at positions 30 to 523 of the family's 1533-position model. The record is from RNAcentral.